RNAcentral lists this ribosomal RNA (315 nucleotides) under uncultured eukaryote. RNAcentral's name for it is "partial 18S ribosomal RNA". It matches the Rfam family "Eukaryotic small subunit ribosomal RNA", at positions 1470 to 1796 of the family's 1831-position model. The record is from RNAcentral.
CCCUUAGACGUUCUGGGCCGCACGCGCGCUACACUGACCAGUGCAACAAGCAUCCGUCCUUGGCCGACAGGCCCGGGCAAUCUUUGAACGCUGGUCGUGAUGGGGAUAGACUUUUGCAAUUUUUGGUCUUCAACGAGGAAUUCCUAGAAAACGCAAGUCAUCAACUUGCAUUGAUUACGUCCCUGCCCUUUGUACACACCGCCCGUCGCACCUACCGAUUGAAUGGUCCGGUGAAGCCUCCGGAUUGGCGCGCACCUCGGUGCCGCCGAGAAGUUGGCUAAACCUUACCAUUUAGAGGAAGGUGAAGUCGUAACA